RNAcentral lists this long non-coding RNA (383 nucleotides) under Manduca sexta (tobacco hornworm). RNAcentral describes it as "uncharacterized LOC119193831". The record is from RNAcentral. Lineage: Eukaryota; Metazoa; Arthropoda; Insecta; Lepidoptera; Sphingidae.
AUUCGCAAAUUAUAAAAUUACUGAACAUAAUAUCUACAGCCUUGUGUACCCCGAAUUGGGGUUCACCUGCUUGCUUAGCGCUCUGCCCUACUGCCUGCUACUAGCGUCGGUCACUCCGGUUCCAGUCGUGUACCACGGGAGUGGUUGCAUGACCCUUUUGCCUGCUGCAGUUUACCUACGGGUGCUACCUACUGCUUGCUGCUGUAGCAAGAAGAGUGCACGCUACUGCACUCAGCGCCGCGCACCAGGAACCCAAGGCCAGUGUAUUCAAUCGGUGGAGAAUGUGUUUUGGACAAUGGAUGUUCUAAUACCCCGACCCCUUAUAGAAUAAGUGUCUUAUAUAAUAUUUUGUUUACCUUUAUUACAUAUAUUUUGUUAGCUUU